CCCCAGCGCCACAAGUGGUUAUCACGAUUAUUGGGCCUAAAGCGUUCGUAGCUGGUUUGGUAAAUCUCUUGUGAAAUUGUUCGGCUUAACCGGACAGCGUGCAGGAGAGACUGCCAAGCUCGAGACCGGGGGGGGUUAGAAGUAUUCCAUGGGGACUGGUAAAAUGGGAUAAUCCAUGGAAGACUACCGAUGGCGAAGGCAUCUAACCAGAACGGAUCUGACAGUGAGGAACGAAAGCCAGGGGAGCGAACCGG
Molecule: ribosomal RNA, 254 nt
Filed under: uncultured bacterium
Lineage: Bacteria
Description: partial 16S ribosomal RNA
Rfam family: Archaeal small subunit ribosomal RNA
Source: RNAcentral